UGUCUGCAGUCCCCACGCUCUCCAAAAUCAAUCUCGGAGAGCAAGGCAGUGUUUUGCUGAGAUUAAGCAGAUUUGCAAAUUAGGAAGAUUAAAUGGAAAUGUAAUGAAAUGAAAAUUAAAUGUCCUUCUAUUUUUUUAUUAUUAUUUUUUAUUUUUAUUAUUUUUUUGAGAGAGACAGAGACAGAGACAGAGAGGAAGGAAGGAAAAAAAAAGGAAAAAUCGCCCUUUCCUGGGAGGUGUCUUUUGAGUGAUCCCCCAAAACGCCUUUCCCGGAGCAGCUCCCUGUCAAACUACACGCGCUCCCGUCCGGAGGGACUGAAAAGUGAUUCAAACUCUCCGGGAAGCACAGACAUUUUUAAUUCCAUCUGAUGCAGCAGCUCGGAAAGCAGCGAGAUCAGCCACCGGGGCUGCAAAGGAGGCUCUCUGCCUCCUCAAAUCCCCCAAAAGCAGAGCGGUUUUACUCAUCAAGGAAACAGCCGAGAAAAAGAAGGAUCGGAGGCACUCACCAGAGCGUAGACCGAGCUCAGCACGGAGCAGCAGAGGAUCAAACCCAGGCUGUGAUAAACCAGAUAUGAUCCCAUAUCCAAGGGGCUCCUUCCAGCAUCCACGCUCUCUCGGGGAAGUUGGAGGACGGAGAGGUCUUCCAGCGCUCCGCUUGCAGAUGAUUUCUCCUUCCCUCCCUCCAACCUCCCCCCCCCUCCACCUCACUCUCCAGAACCGGUGUUUGUUUGUUUGUCUGUUUGUUUGUUUGUUUGUUUUAGCCGGAAAGGCACAUGACGAGAAAGCCCGGUCCUUUGCUUCGCUUUCUCAUGGCUGGAGAUGCGGGCAGCUCCCGAAAGGCAGCGGAGGAGCCCAUGCGAAGAAGCGGAGCGACUUCGGCUUCGCUCAGCGCCGCAGCCCCCGGUGCUGGUUGUUUUCCGCGUGCAUCUGUCUCAGAGCAGAAAAAUCACAUCCAUAUGUCAAAGCCGCGCUCUUCUGUUUCCUUUUUAUGAGGCAGUGGGAAGUUCAAAUAAUUUCUUUGUCAAACGCAAACACACAGAAAGAGGCAGAGAGGGAGGGAGGGAGGGAGAAAGGCGAGAGAGGGGUGGAAGGGGUGGGAGAUCGGAGAGGGUGGGGGAGGCUUUAAACCACGGCUUUAUUUUUAGAUCCAGUAAUUUUAUCUUUUGGGUUUCGGAGGGGUUUGGAAAGAAAGAGAGAGAGGGAAAAAAAAAAAAAAAAGCCUUUUUUUUUCUUUUAAUUCUUUUUCUCCACUUUCGCCACACGAACGGCUCUCAGAGCAGAAAGUUACGGGGAAAAAAAAUAGCGAAAACUUGGAGAUAUUUUCCCUCCUCAUUUACUUUUUCUUCGCAAACAGCGGUGCUUUUGGGGGGGACCUUUUCCUCCUUUUUUUUUUUUUUUUUUUCCUUGCUGGUGUAUCGCCGCGCGUUUCGCCUCCACAAUAGGUUUAUUCUCCAGCCCUCCGGGUCGAAGUGUGUUUCAGUUACAAAUCGGGAUUUUUUCGCUCCUCUCUCCCCUCUCUGCCUCAGAGGAUCUGCAGUUUCAAAAAGCCGAUUGAACACGGCGUGAAAGCGUGAGGCUGACGACUCCCCCGCCUCCUACCGCCACUCUCUCUAGUCCUCGUUCCGUGCCCCGCAAGGAGGAGCCCCCCGCGGAACCCCUGGCGCAUCGCAUCCCCGCUUUCCCCCCCUCAUGUCCCCAGCACCUCGCACCCCUCGUGGAUGUCACCAGCAUCGCAGUUUCAAGGCUGGGGAUGGUGCUCCCAGCUCAGCCGGGCGCUUUCAUUCAUAAAAUGGCAAGGUAAAUAUAUGUAUAUAUAUUCAUAUAUAAUAGGAAAACAGGAUAGCCCCCCCAAAGCCACGCCGCUGGGGGUGAAGCUCCAGCAGCCGUCCCCUGAUCGGGUUUAUUUUCGGCGUGGGAGAAGAAGCGAGGAGGGGAGGGGGGGGACAGGGAUGCACCACGCGGGACACAGCGCUGCGCUGCGGGCUGACUCACUGGGGGAACUUUGGACAUCAACUCCUGCGCUUUGCUUUGCAUUGCUUCGCUUCUCUUUUCCUUUCAACUUUUUCUUUCUUUCUUUCUUUCUGCCCGGAUUUUGUGAUUAGGAGCUAAAUAAGCAGAGAGAAAGCCCAAAAUAAAAUAAAAUACCGAAAAAAAAAACCCCAAACCAAACCGAACAGACCUCUAUACCCCGCCGGAGGGCAGACGGUAAAAACAACGCGUUUUCGCCGAGCGGAGCUGCGCGCAUUUCUCUUUUAUUUUUUGGAGCGAAGAGAGAAAAAAAAAAAAAAGAGAGAGAGAGAGAGAGAGAAAAAAGCCUCUACAGUCGGUUAGUUGCUUUUUUUUUUUUUUUUUCACGGCCCCAUGGCUGUGAAUAGGUGCCUUCAGCUAAUUUUAUGAAAAGGGGCUCUUUCCAAGGCUAAGGUAGAGUAGGGCUUCCUGUAAGAGAGAGAGAGAGAGAGAGAGAGAGGGAGGGGGAAAAGAAGUGUUGCUCUUGAUGCAAUCUUUUCCUCCUCCUUCUUCUCCUCCUCCUCCUCCUCCUCCUCCUUGCGAGCCCUCUGCCUCUCCCUGCCAGCCCCGACAGAUCUCCGCACCGCGGGGGGAGAAGGGUAGGUAUAAAAGCCCCCCCCCCUUCCCCCCCCAGGGGUUGGCCCCCAUUGAUCAGCCGUACUCAGCCUUUGACCGACGGGCUGCGAGGCACGGGGUCAUCCCGCAGCCCUCCCACCGCACCGCACCGCACCGCAUCCCACCCCCCGUCCCACCCCCUGCGCUCCGGUUGGGCAAUGCGUGCUGAAGGGGGCACCCACACGAAGGGUUGGGAGAAAGGAUUUAAAAGCCACGAAGCCAACCCCCCCUCCCCAUCCACCCCAACGCCAUCAGUCUGUCCCACUGCCCCUCAUCCACGCUGUUCCCAAAUUUAUGUCCCACAUAGGGAUUAAAAAUACACUUAUUGAGGGAGGUGGGCUCAAAAAGGGGGUUCCUGAGAGGGGAUCCUGGGGGAAUCCUGGGGAAGGUAUUUCCACCUCUGCUGCUUUAUUUCAUUUCAUUUCAUUUGGGGGGGGCUGUUGGCUCACUUCUCUCCAAUCUGCUCAACCAAAGGGGUGGGACAGCCUCCAUCCCUGGUGGGAGCUGAGCGUCUGUGCGUGUUUAAGUAUAGGCAACUGAGCAAAUGUGUACCCGAGGCUCUAUAGUCUGUCUGAGAAGAAGGGGGGGAAGAAAAAUAACUCUGCUGCAAAGUUUCAUGAGUCCCAUAGCAUCUCUUUUGCUGUUUUUUUUAAAUUUAUUAUUAUUUUUUGGGUGGGAAAGAGGGAAGGAGCAAGAGAACGCCUCAUAUAUUGCAUUGCUCCCCACCUCCUGCUGCUACUGGGUGGUGAUGCAAAUAAAGCAGGAUCUGAUCUGGUUUAAGAGACAUCCAGACUUUGGUCACCCCUUUGUAUCCAGUCCCUCGUGUGCUGGGACUGGGCCAGGGAUGCCUUUAUGCUGGUAAUUUCUCCAUCCAAUCAUUUAAUGAUUAAGGGCAGAUACUGCUGAACUGCUGAAGCUGUGCAAGAAGGAAACUUUUCCCUCCCUCCAACCCCAGCUCAAAGUUGGCCCAGCAGAGCCCCACUCUUAUGGCCACCAAGAAUAUGGCAGAUGUUAUUCUGGAUCCCUGUUAUCUUCAAACAAUGUAAACCCAACACCACAGGAUUCCCCAAAUCCAAUUGCAGCAGUCUGCGUUUCCUUCGUUGCUCCUUUCUGGGAAGAUAGGAGUUGCAAGGGCUGCAGGUCUUUGGAGUCAUGAGCAUCAAAUGCAGCUCUAAAGAGCAGUUUCUUCAAGUAGAGGAUGUAACCCAGCUCCCAUGGCACUCAGUGCAAGAUAGGAGUGAGGCCAGAUGAGGUGGGCAGAGCAGGCUUGUGGGAGCUGAGCAGUUGGACUGUAUGACUGAGGGCCCUCUAAAGACACAGUGAAUCACACAAUCAUGGAAUCAUUAAGGUUUGGAAAAGACCUCUGAGAUCACCAACCCCAACCCACCCCACCAUGCCCAUUGCCCACAUCCCUCAGUGCCACAUCUCCAUGGUUCAGGAAAACCUCCAGGGCUGGUGACCCCACCACCUCCCUGGGCAGCUGUGCCACUGCAUUGCCACUCUUUUGGAGAAGAAAUGUUUCCUAACAUCCAAUCUGAACCUCCCCUGAAUCAACUUAAGGCCUAAACCAUGGCUGGGGCUCUCAGUCAGGCACCAGAGGAAAGCAUGUGAGAAUUUCCCAAUUUGCAUCAUUCCAGCACUUCUCUUCCCAAGCAAACUGCCCAGUUCUUUCCCCACAUGAAAAGGGUCUCUCUCUCUGCCUGACUCAUUGGGUGCUGAGGAUCAAGCCCUCCGCUUUUAGGUCCUACCGCCAUUGGAAAUCCGGAUUUAUGCGAGGUCAAACACGAAACAGCUGAGUUUGCUCAUUUUUGGGGGGCAGUGCCCCAGGAAAAUGCUUUUAUUAUCUCUAUUCAUCCCCAGACAUUGUGUAUUCUCUCAGCCAGGGUUACAAGGCAACUCUUCCCCCUCUCUGCAGACCUUUGAGAGGGGAAUGAGCUCUUCUGCACAUCCAGAUGUCUGCUGUUGUUUGUCCGGUCUCUUCCCACUGGGGGGCACAGGACUCCAUUCUCCAGCAGAUCUGUUCCAGGCAUCUCUUUAUGUCAAGGCAAAGGUAAUUUGGACAUCUAAGUUUUGUUUUGUUUUUCUUUCAGAUUGUAUCCAUGAAUGUGUGUAUAAUGAACCCAGAAGGAAUGCAGCACUAAAAGAAGCCUUUGUAAUGUUGCUAUUUUAAGGAGACCCUUGGGUAUGGCACGUGUUGAACUGAGUUUCUCCAACAUCUUACAACAAACCAAAAUGUUUAGAUCCUCCUACUGAUGUAAGACAGCAUAAAAAAAAUACAUAAUCAAUCUAAACUGGCUAAGGUUUUGACCAGGAAUUAUUGCUCCUGUGAAUUGGCUCUGUAUUGUAGCUAACUUUUACACAGCCUAAUAAUAAACAUCUCCUCCUCCCAGCUGGGUGAAUGUUUCCCCUCUGCUGGAGAUCAGGUCCCAGUCUGGAUAAAACACCUCUUGUCCUUUCUCUCCUCGGUCACUCAGGUUCAGUGAAACAUCAUGACUUACAUCAGCCAAAGCCUUUGAUCAGGGAGGGAAAGGUCUGACAUGGAUGGGGUUGGCAGCCACGCUGCAAGAAUCCCUCAUUGUGCAAGAAGCCAGUCCAAUGACCGACUGUCACCAAGGGUGAGACAGCCUUUUCUGCUCUGUUUGCUCUGUUUUCACUUGGCUAUUGCUGGCGUUUUGUUUGCAAAAUCAAGGCCAAAAUAUACAAGAAGCAGCUUCGAACAUGUUGGGUUUGUGCAUUAAGCCAGAUAGCCAUCAUGAAUUUCUGGCCAUUUUUGUUGUAUGUGUUGUAAAGAGCAGAAUUUUGCUGUCAGCAUUUUGUUUUCACAUGGUCAGAGAGGAGAAGGAGUAUAAUAGAGGUCCAAUUGACACUGUUUACACAAAGAUGAAGUCGUAACUCUUGGCUGAGAUGACUGUGGAAGUGGUGUGUGAUGGCUUCUUUGUUGGCUCUUUAAGAAAACAUCUGCUCUGGAUCUCGUGGACAAAAUCUAGGGUGAAAAAUUCUCUCAUUGCAAAAUGAGAAGCCGGAUGAAAAGCCCAGAGAAGCUGUGGGUGCUCCAUCUCUGGAGGUGCUCAAGGCCAGGUUGGAUGGGGCCCUGGGCUGCCUGAUCUGGAAGGUGGUAAUCCUGCCCAUGGCCCCGGGUUGGGGCUGGAUGACCUUUGAGGAUGUUUCCAGCCUAGGCCGUUCUAUGAUUCUAUGAGUUUCUCCAAUAGCAUCCAGCACUCAAGGAACAGGGCUGCUUUGGAAAUGUAUGUCAGAAUAAGAAAAAUACAUUUUUUGUACUCACACAUUGAACAGCGAAUGAAUGCUCAAGAAGAAUGAGGGUGAGAAUUGAAUCCAUUAAAACACUUUCUGGGACAAUAUUUUUGCUUUCAGCAGCUUUCUCUUCUGCUUUGCUUCAAUUCCUUCUAAACUCUGCUCCCCUUCCUCCAGGUGGUAUGAAAUAAAAAACAGUAAUAAAUAGAUUUUUCUAUAUAGGAAAAAAAUCAAAAACAAAUAAAAAUAUAUUUUUAAAAAUUUAGAUUUCUCUGUAAAGACUCUUCAUUAAGUACACAGAAAUGCUUGUGAUAUGUGGCCAUAGAUGGGCUGUACGCCUCUUCUAAUGCCCUGCAGUAUGGUUUACAAGGUGACUCAGUAACUGGGGCGAAGUCAUCGUGGUGGGUUUGGGUGCCCUACAUGAGAAGACGCAGAAAAUGUGUCAGAAAAAGGAUCACAGACCUGAAAAUGGUUUGGGAGAAGAGAGAGAUGAGGCGUGUGGAGUUGAGGUCUUGGGUUAAGGCAACAAAGGAGUGUUGGAGGUGACAGAUGAACCCAAAGGCAUUUUGCAUCUUAAGCAGGCCAGAUGGGUUAGCAAAGUCACCAGUAGAACACAAUUGUCAGUGGCUCCAUACAGUGACCUUUAGCUGAAACAAAGCUAUACAAAAGGAGCUCAGGGCAUGCAAGUAGGUGAAGGAAAAUCCUCAUCAGCAAUAGGCUUGGCAUCCAUUUGGUUGUGUUUUCAUGCAGACAAGGUGGGGCAGACAGGCUCUACACAGCAACACGUGCUCUUGCCUUAUCCCAUCUCUGUUGUUCUCCUUGCUGUAGGCUGAUGCUUUGGACCCAGAAAGACACAAGUGGGAUGGAGAUCAGAGCCCUGGGCUUUUCCCCGCAGACCAGCAACUGGUGCCAUUUCUGGCUGAUUCUCUACUUUUCUCUUCCUAGUGAGGGUCUUUUGUUAUUUAUCAGCUCCUUUCAAAGCAACAGCCUGAGAGAUUUCACAAUACUUUUCACAUAUGGUUACUCAGCCUGGGGCUCUCCACAGCUUAGCUGUUUCAGUGAUAUUUGCACAGCACUGAGCAACAGCAUUCCUGACCUGCAGGAGAAGUGAGUGCCUCAAACCUCCUUUUCUCCAUAUACACAAGAUCUUUUUUUGCUCUUAAAAAACCCCAGACCCCUCUCCCCAUCCCUGCCAGUUGCACGGCAGACUGGAUGUCCCUGGCAGCACACUUGGGCUUGCAUCCAUUUUUCUUCUUUGUGUGUGUGUGCGUUGUCAUCCAAUGCAUGGCCAGAACCAAAGGAAAACUCAUGUGUGUGUUGUCAUCCAAUGCAUGGCCAGAACCAAAGGCAAACUCCAUUUGGGAGGUGAGCAAGGAAAACCCCUCCAAAACAGCCAGGAGCUGAAAAGAUUUGGCAAGCUUUGCAGGAGAAAACUGCCAGCAGGGAAAGACGAGGUGGAGGCAUUACUCUGACAGAAGAAGCUCUGAUUAGCAGAUUAUCACUUAAGUGAUGUUGAUCCCAGCCACGCUGCCUUCCAAAUGAGCCCUUUCACAGCUGCCAGCUGCACCACGGAGUCGUGAAUGUAAAUGAGUGGGCCAGAUCCUCUGCUGGCAUCCAUCGACGUGGCUUUGAUGGACCAUCCUGGAUCUACAACAGCCGGAGGAGUGUGGCUGUCGUGGGAGCCUGACUUGCUAUGCAGAUUUCUUUGAGAGCCUGUGGGAAAGGGCCUGAAGCUGGAUGUACUGCAGGAUAGGGCAGCAUCAACUGCACAGCUGGAGGGACCCUUGAGACUUUGACUUUUGCUGCCAAACAAAGCCAUCUUUUUGCUGAGCUUGUAAACUGUUCCCUGGUACCGUACGCCAGCAUAUAGCAUCCUGCCCUCAUAAAGCUCUACUUAUCUCCAUCCAACUUCUUGGGCUGAGCGUGUGGGAAGCAUGUGAGGGACACUCAUGAGCAGCCUUGCAUUCUCCGAGCUGUGCUUUCCCCUGGGGGUGAGCAUUCCCCUAAGUGCACAGUCCAUUUCAGCUCUGAUAAGUCUUCAGAGGUGAUGGCCUGGAACCUGCAGAGCUGGUGGUGAGGUGGGAACAAGCUCUCUUUGUGAGGCUGCACCAGCUUGCUGGGUGUGCUGGGUGCACUGAAUGAAAUCUUUCAUUUGGUUCCUCAGAGAGUCUAGGAAGAUCCUCAGCUUUUGUCCUGAAUGGGAUUGUAGCCCAGUCCAGGGAAAGAUCACAAAUACCAAGGCUUAGGUUAUUGGAUUGAAUCUUGCUUUGUUAGUGCAACCAUGCUGUGGACUUGGACUUUCAGCCAAGGAAAGAGAGUGCUGCAGAGGCGUGAUCGAAAAGAGGAGGUGGAUCUGUAAAAAUGAUGAUGAGAGUAAUGGGGAAUGGUUAUUGGGUGCCUCUCCUAGUAAAGACAUUGGGAACACAAGACUGAAAUUUUUGGGACAGGUGAAGUGCAAACAAAAAGAGGUGGUUUUUUUUCGUUUGUUUGUUUGGUUUUUUUUUAAUAAUGGUUGUUCCAUAAGUAAUGCCUCCUAUUUUAUUAUGUUGACCUACAACGUCAGAGGUGGAUGUUGGUAGUAUGGUAGUAGAGGUUAAACCUUCCCACCAACAUCCCAUUACAUUUUGUUGCCACGUGACAGAUAGCAGUAGAAGGGUAUUGACAAAAUGAUGUCUGACACAGAAGUGCAUAUGAAGCAAAAGUGUGUCACUGAAUUCCCUCAUGUGGAAAAAAUGGCACUCACUGACAUUCAUUGAUGCUUGCUGAAUGUUUAUAGAGACCAAACAAGUGUGAGCACAGUGAGGCACUGAUGACAGCAACGUGAAAGACAAGCCACAUUCUAGACAUCCAUGCAGAUUUCACAAGUUGGCAUGCAGUCUCUUGUUCAUUGCUGGCAAAAAUUCAUUGAUAUUGGUAGUGGCUAAGUUGAAGAAUAGAGCUUUGUAGCUGAGAAUUUGCUCUAUCAAAUACUUCUAUUGUGCUCCUUGUAUCUGUUGUAGUUUCCAUGGAAAUAAAUGGGAGGCAUUACUUUCAGAGUCAUCUACAUAUAUUGAGAAGGUGAUUUUCUAUUCUCACAGAAGGCAUACUUGACCUCUGGCCACGUCCAUCCAAUCUGACAGACUGGUCUUCGGAGAAUGGUGACCAAGAAUAAGCUCCAUGUCCCACAUGCCACCUGUUCAUCUGCACCGCUCCCUCUCCAGCAGCUCAUGGGCCAUGCCCAGCCUAUGUGUGACACCUCUCUGGCUGCUCAGAUGGAAAGUAAGAGCUUGGAGAGUGAGGACAGCAUGGAGUUAUGGAAGACAUGGCUACAAGAGCAUUCUUUCUCCAUCUCCAUGUGCUUCUGAAGGACCAGUCUGAUUCUGGCUCCUGCCAAGUUAGGAUAUGCUAUGAUUCUGUGAACACUUUUUGCAGCAAGUCAGCCAUAAGAAACAACAUACUCUCAGACAAUCAAGCCUCCAAAUUAAGGUGGGGAGACUUGUUGUGAAGGAGAUGGUUUUUUUUUUCCUACUGUAGAAGGGAUGUUCAAUGCUAUAGUGACAAGGAACAAUUCUUCAGCCUUAGACAGCAGAAAGAAGAAACAUAAAGAGACUGUACAGUUCUUGGGACACCGAGACAACUAUCUACGUGCUUUGUGGAAGCAGAGACAAGUAUGAGAUUUGGCUUUCUGGGCUAUGAGGGCACACAGCUGGCUCACAUCCAGCUCCCAUCCACCAUUUAGAUAAGAUACUAUUGCUUUUAAUAAAGACAAGUCAAAGAUCUUCUCCUAAGUGCUCUUAAAGAACUCCAGCAUUGUGUCUACAAUAAUCCAUCCGCCUUAAAGGAUCCAGCAGUACAUCACCACCAGUGGAUAUAAGAAGUAAUUAGUCAUCAUUUAGGGAAGUAAGAUUUAACAGUUAUUUUGUUGGCAGAAGUGCCGUGAUAAAAAUGGUACUCUGAAAGUUAUUUGGUAUUUCUCAUUGUUGCCAGAGUUCUGAACAUUUUGAUAGGAUGAACAUAGACUUCGGUAGGAAAGUUGUGGAUUUUUUCCCCUCCAUUUAGUAGAAAUAUAAAUGUUACAAAAUAAAUAAUGAUAGAAUAUAUGUGUAUAUAUUUUCAAUGCAUAUUUUAAAAUGCAUAUGAAAUGCAUUUUUUAAAAUAUUUUGUUCAAAUAUUUUUACUAAUGUUGUAUACCUUGCAUCUGUGAAGAGGGUUAUCCCUUAAACAUCCUUUCUUCAGACAGUACUGGGAUUCAUCCUCAGGCCCCGUUAUCUUGCUCUACGUUUCCUAGAGUCCAUCUAUAUAAUAAAUCAGAAUACUGCAUGGUUACACAUCGUAAUUAUUUUUUAAAAUUAUUUUUUAUUUUUUUGCUGAUUGGGGAAAUGGUGAAAACUGGUUUUUGCAUAUUUCAACAAUGUUACUCAGCCAAGUAAAAGAACAAGGGAGCAGAAUGGAAGAGAAAUGAAGAAAUGGAAGGAAGGAAGGAAGGAAGGAAGGAAGGAAGGAAGGAAGGAAGGAAGGAAGGAAGGAGGGAAGGAGGGAAGGAGGGAAGGAAGGAA
Molecule: long non-coding RNA, 10409 nt
Filed under: Gallus gallus (chicken)
Lineage: Eukaryota; Metazoa; Chordata; Aves; Galliformes; Phasianidae
Source: RNAcentral